GCUCUGGUCCGUGGAAAACGAGCAAAUCUGGCAACCCCUAAUAGCAACGGCCCUUCCAUUAGCCGCAGAAGUGUCUUUACCCUAGCAAGCUUCACUGCCCUCUGCUGAAACUGGAAACAUAUAAUGACAAGAUACUGACCGAGAUUUGUAUGGUUUACUAUCAUAGCUUAAAGAAGACAACCAAAGGCUUGAUGAGCAGCUGUGAGGACAUCAAA
Molecule: long non-coding RNA, 215 nt
Organism: Pundamilia nyererei
Lineage: Eukaryota; Metazoa; Chordata; Actinopteri; Cichliformes; Cichlidae
Exons: 3
Source: RefSeq, a predicted model, not a curated record